AGGAGGACUUGGAGCAACCUACCCCGCCACAGGAGGACCAGGCAGCCAAAGAAGAAGAGGUGGCUGAGGAGGUUAAGAGUGGAGGCGACUAGAAGGCUGCCAGCCGGCUGUGGAGAUACCCCCCCAGACACACCCCUCUGCCUUAGAGCCCACCCCCACACAGCAUACGUGCCCAGUGUGGAAUGCCCAGCAGGCUGCCCAUGCUCCUGCGCUGUCCCUGAGCCUCCACCUCCUGCGGGCCCCACCCGCUCCUGUCCUUCUGACCCCGUAAGACCAGAUGCUGCUGUGAACUUCCAUUCCCUUUUUAAACAUGAUUUCAAAUAAAACGAGCUCCAACCU
This is a long non-coding RNA of Dipodomys ordii (Ord's kangaroo rat), 339 nucleotides long. RefSeq lists it as uncharacterized. The transcript has 2 exons. The record is from RefSeq and is a predicted model, not a curated record. NCBI's taxonomy places the organism in Eukaryota, Metazoa, Chordata, Mammalia, Rodentia, Heteromyidae.